GCCCCCGUAUCCCAACUGGCAGAGGAAGGGGACUUAAAAUCCUCACAGUAUGGGUUCGAAUCCCAUCGGGGGCA
RNAcentral lists this transfer RNA (74 nucleotides) under Actinomycetota bacterium. RNAcentral's name for it is "tRNA-Leu". It matches the Rfam family "tRNA". Rfam says of the family: Transfer RNA (tRNA) molecules are approximately 80 nucleotides in length. Their secondary structure includes four short double-helical elements and three loops (D, anti-codon, and T loops). Further hydrogen bonds mediate the characteristic L-shaped molecular structure. tRNAs have two regions of fundamental functional importance: the anti-codon, which is responsible for specific mRNA codon recognition, and the 3' end, to which the tRNAs corresponding amino acid is attached (by aminoacyl-tRNA synthetases). tRNAs cope with the degeneracy of the genetic code in two manners: having more than one tRNA (with a specific anti-codon) for a particular amino acid; and 'wobble' base-pairing, i.e. permitting non-standard base-pairing at the 3rd anti-codon position. The record is from RNAcentral. Lineage: Bacteria; Bacillati; Actinomycetota.